RNAcentral lists this ribosomal RNA (253 nucleotides) under uncultured bacterium. RNAcentral describes it as "partial 16S ribosomal RNA". It matches the Rfam family "Bacterial small subunit ribosomal RNA", at positions 524 to 776 of the family's 1533-position model. The record is from RNAcentral.
UACGGAGGAUCCAAGCGUUAUCCGGAAUCAUUGGGUUUAAAGGGUCCGUAGGCGGUCUAAUAAGUCAGUGGUGAAAGCCCAUCGCUCAACGAUGGAACGGCCAUUGAUACUGUUAGACUUGAAUUAUUGGGAAGUAACUAGAAUAUGUAGUGUAGCGGUGAAAUGCUUAGAUAUUACAUGGAAUACCAAUUGCGAAGGCAGGUUACUAUCAAUAUAUUGACACUGAUGGACGAAAGCGUGGGGAGCGAACAGG